UACGUAGGGGGCCAGCGUUGUCCGGAGUUACUGGGCGUAAAGCGCACGCAGGCGGUUGGCUGCGUCGGGGGUGACAGUGCUCGGCUUAACUGGGCAAGCGCUCUUGAUACGGGCCAACUUGAGGGCCAGAGAGGGAGCCGGAACUCCGGGUGGAGCGGUGAAAUGCGUAGAGAUCCGGAAGAACACCGAAGGCGAAGGCAGGCUCCUGGCUGGUUCCUGACGCUCAGGUGCGAAAGCGAGGGGAG
Molecule: ribosomal RNA, 245 nt
Filed under: uncultured bacterium
Lineage: Bacteria
Description: partial 16S ribosomal RNA
Rfam family: Bacterial small subunit ribosomal RNA
Source: RNAcentral